CACUCCUGCGGGAGGCAGCAGUGGGGAAUUUUGGACAAUGGGCGAAAGCCUGAUCCAGCAAUGCCGCGUGAGUGAAGAAGGCCUUCGGGUUGUAAAGCUCUUUUGUCAGGGAAGAAACGGUGAAAGCUAAUAUCUUUUGCUAAUGACGGUACCUGAAGAAUAAGCACCGGCUAACUACGUGCCAGCAGCCGCGGUAAUACGUAGGGUGCAAGCGUUAAUCGGAAUUACUGGGCGUAAAGCGUGCGCAGGCGGUUUUGUAAGUCUGAUGUGAAAUCCCCGGGCUCAACCUGGGAAUUGCAUUGGAGACUGCAAGGCUAGAAUCUGGCAGAGGGGGGUAGAAUUCCACGUGUAGCAGUGAAAUGCGUAGAUAUGUGGAGGAACACCGAUGGCGAAGGCAGCCCCCUGGGUCAAGAUUGACGCUCAUGCACGAAAGCGUGGGGAGCAAACAGGAUUAGAAACCCGAGUAGUCCCAU
This 473-nucleotide ribosomal RNA is filed under the name uncultured organism. Its description in RNAcentral is "partial 16S ribosomal RNA". It matches the Rfam family "Bacterial small subunit ribosomal RNA", at positions 334 to 798 of the family's 1533-position model. The record is from RNAcentral.